GCCUCGCUAGCUCAAUGGUAGAGCAACGGACUCUUAAUCCGCAGGUUCUUGGUUCGAAUCCAAGGCGGGGUACCA
Molecule: transfer RNA, 75 nt
Filed under: Akkermansiaceae bacterium
Lineage: Bacteria; Pseudomonadati; Verrucomicrobiota; Verrucomicrobiia; Verrucomicrobiales; Akkermansiaceae
Description: tRNA-Lys
Rfam family: tRNA
About the family: Transfer RNA (tRNA) molecules are approximately 80 nucleotides in length. Their secondary structure includes four short double-helical elements and three loops (D, anti-codon, and T loops).
Source: RNAcentral